GACGAACGCUGGCGGCGUGCUUAACACAUGCAAGUCGUACGGUAAGGCCCUUUCGGGGGUACACGAGUGGCGAACGGGUGAGUAACACGUGAGUAACCUGCCCACAACUUUGGGAUAACGCUAGGAAACUGGUGCUAAUACUGGAUAUGUGCUCCUGCUGCAUGGUGGGGGUUGGAAAGCUCCGGCGGUUGUGGAUGGACUCGCGGCCUAUCAGCUUGUUGGUGGGGUAGUGGCCUACCAAGGCGGCGACGGGUAGCCGGCCUGAGAGGGUGACCGGCCACAGUGGGACUGAGAUACGGCCCAGACUCCUACGGGAGGCAGCAGUGGGGAAUAUUGCACAAUGGGCGCAAGCCUGAUGCAGCAACGCCGCGUGCGGGAUGACGGCCUUCGGGUUGUAAACCGCCUUCAGCAGGGACGAAGCUUUUUGUGACGGUACCUGCAGAAGAAGCACCGGCUAACUACGUGC
This 466-nucleotide ribosomal RNA is filed under the name uncultured bacterium. Its description in RNAcentral is "partial 16S ribosomal RNA". It matches the Rfam family "Bacterial small subunit ribosomal RNA", at positions 28 to 508 of the family's 1533-position model. The record is from RNAcentral.